UACCAAUCCUGACAUGAGGUGAAAUA
This 26-nucleotide non-coding RNA is filed under the name Homo sapiens (human). Lineage: Eukaryota; Metazoa; Chordata; Mammalia; Primates; Hominidae. The record is from RNAcentral.